This 6302-nucleotide long non-coding RNA is filed under the name Pelobates cultripes (western spadefoot toad). The record is from RNAcentral. Lineage: Eukaryota; Metazoa; Chordata; Amphibia; Anura; Pelobatidae.
CAGAGGGUUGUGUGGUGUCCACAGGUCAAACACACACAAAAAGCUGUUACAACAAAUCGCCGAGGGCCUCCACAACUCAUCAGAUUGGAACCGAUGUGUGGUAAGUAACCGACAUUAUAAUGGGAAAGAAAUGUUCUGAUAAGAGAGUUUGAAAAAUCGGCUAUUAUCAAUUAGCCAAUCCCGACGUGACUUAAAAGUGACGUAACUUAGGAAUAUUUGAAGACAAUGUGAUGAUGGUGCAUCAAGAGAUUUCCCUUGCUGAAGGAUAUCCCAGGUCAGAUACGGUUCAAAUUAUGGGUAUACAAUGUAUUUACAAUUACUACCCUUAAGUUUUCCAAUGGUUUAAAAUGUAAAGUUUUACGACUGACAUUGAUGUUAUCUGCUUAAACCACUAGGAAAGUUCUAUCAUUACUGUACUGAUUCUCUGAUUUUCCUGUAUCAGACUCCUUUUUAUAUGUUACCUACUUGAGCUAAAAAUUAUACAUGGAAAAAAAAGUAAAGAAGUUUUUUUGUGAGCAAAAAUCAGGUCUGUAAACGUGAAGAAUGCCAUUCCAUGUGAGAUUCUGUAAAAUUGUGUGACAGAGCAGACUUUUCAAACAAGAAUCAUUGGUGGUGACGGAGUUAUCCACAUAUGACAGUGUAAGAUGUUUUCUGCGGUUGUUACAAUAUUGUAUUUUUCAAAAAGAUAUGUUUUUGCUUGAUGCUAAUUGGUGACCAACAAAGUACAUCUCUUUGACAGCCUAUGCAUCAUAGGCCGAAGGAAUUUAGUGAAUGUGUAAUCCCAAAUGACUGCAUGCUAAGAAGAAGUGACCCUUAUUUUAGCAGAAAGUCAAGUAUUUCCAUUUUAUUUCAAGGAAUUUUAUUAAAGGACACAGAGGCUCCUAUUAGGCUUUAUCUCUUUCUUUAUUCCUCAGCAGCAAAGAAAGGAUAUUGAUAUUUUUAAUAUAGCAAUAACAAGAAAAACAAAUACCCCUUAAGGGUUAACCAUAUAACAUUCCAUAUACAUUAACCAAUAGGAUCAGUCCUUGUACUAUAUCCCCUCAUGUGAGCUAAACUACUUCCUCUUUCUUUGCUGCUGCCUCAGCUAAGUACCACAUAAUUUGUUUCAGCGCCACAAAAUAUUGUGUAUUUUUUGUUAAUUGUGUUUUCAGUUUCUUCUGGUUUAAUAUUGUUAUCUUUAUACUAUUCUUUUUUCUGUAUAUUGUUGUUCUGUAUAUUAUAUGUGCCUUUUGAUAACUGUGCCUUGCCCUAGCUGUUCAGCUUAGUGUUCAGCCAAUUACCCUGUGCUGCUGGUAUACAAACCACUGCAGUGCUGUCAGUGUGCACUUGUCCACUAGUGACAGUUCUAUUUUUAGUGCCUUUCUCCCUCUACUAUUACUGUGACACAUCCUGACCACUAUGCAGUCCCCUGUUAGUAAACAGACGGUUACCCCCCCCCCCACCUCUAAUAAACCCAGCAAACGUGAUACGACAGCCCUGUCUACAGACACUGCUGCCACUGGGGGAGUUGGGGACGCAUCCCAGGAGCACGUGAACUCAGAGGAGUUCCAGGCGCUCCUGGAUGCUACGAUGAGUAGGUCAGUUACACAGGCCAUUUUUACCGCCAUGGGGGCGAUGUCGGACACCCUGUCCCACUCUAUCUCCUCCGCUAUUAGGGCAUCCAGCCACAACCCUGGCUCUGCACCCCCUAUAUCCGCUGAUAACAAGCCAAUGGUCCCUAGCGGCCGCAAGGCUACGUGCAAAUCGCACCAUCUGUCAGGUGCUACCUCCAAAACCAGUAAGACGGACAGGUUGCGCCCUGUUGAGAUUGAUGACGUGGUGCUCCCACGUAAAAGAGCUCCCCGCCAGGCAAAAACGGUGCGGACUUGGAAGAGGGCAAAAGCCUUAUCUGAUCCGUCCGACUCCGAUUCGGACUCAGAGGAGGUGUCAGAUGGGUCCGAUAACAUCGACCCACUUUNNNNNNNNNNNNNNNNNNNNNNNNNNNNNNNNNNNNNNNNNNNNNNNNNNNNNNNNNNNNNNNNNNNNNNNNNNNNNNNNNNNNNNNNNNNNNNNNNNNNUUUCAGAUAAUUCGUCCCCCAAACGCGGCGAAACUGCGCCUCCAGCGUUAGACGCGGAGCACGAGACGGAUGAGUCCGCUGUGUUAGAUCCCCAAGGGGAACCCCUUUUUGAUCCCGACACCUUGCAUAAUCCGCGUUCAGCGGAUUGGUACCCCACAACUCAUGUGGCCAUUUACAUUGCGACUAGGGUCAGAAAACCCCUCGACAAGGCCACAAGAAACAAGCUGAGAGCGGAAUGCCCACGGCCCACUGUCCCAGACAUGGCCUGCGUGACCCCUGAGGUGGACCCCAAGGUCGCUCAGUUUCUGGGUAAGUCAGGAUGGAGGGCCAAGAAGGGUUUGGACUACUCCUUAAAGCACUGCCAGGACAAGAUCCUGGACAUACUCGGGCCUAUAGCUAAAAUCUUCGAUAUGGUCGAAGCGGCCCUUACUGGGGGGACCUCAAUUGACUUGAUGGCCAUCAGAGGAUGGAUUCAGAGAGGCAUAUGCCUAAUAGGAAAUGCCAACACCGCUUUGGCCCCAGAACGGCGUAAAGCCAUAUUGAUGAAAAUCGAGCCAAAACUAGUACAUUUGGCAAUCUCCGAGCCUGGCACACAGGCAAAAGGUCUCUUAUUCGGAGACAAUUUUGUUAAAACCCUGGGCAAUUAUGUCAACACAUUUACGGCACUAGAUAAGGCACAACAUAAUAUGAAGCGAGUGUUCUCGCAAAAGGUUUUCGGUGGGGCCGGCAGACAGCGGGCCGUCUGUCCGGCCGCCCCUCCCGGACUCCGUUCCGGGGCUAUCGAGGCUCCGCCACAACACGGUUCCAUCCACCCGAACCAAGGGCAUAGUCACCAUUCUUCCCGACCAGGGGCAGGUCGUGGCAUCCACGCGGAACCAGGGGAUCCUCCUAUGGCUGUCGGCCUUAUGGUGAGUCACUCCCCAUUACACACCCUUCCCUUGGUACACGUGGGGGGAAGAUUGUUUCAUUUCCAGGAUGCGUGGCACAACCUAACCUCAGAUACAUGGGUCCUAGAGACCAUCCUCGGCUAUCACAUCGAAUUUACACAACAGCCGAUUCAACUGUCAUUGCCACAUCGGAUUGUUUUUUCCCCACUGGACAAACAGCUGGUGUCAAAAGAGAUUCGCACACUGGAGGAGAAAUGUGCGAUAUACAGGGUUCCCAUUACCGCCCCCGGGUUCCUAAGCAACAUCUUCCUAGUACCCAAGAAAGGUGGGGGCACGAGGCCAGUAAUAAACUUGCGGCCUCUCAACGCCUUUGUCACAUACCAUCACUUCAAGAUGGAAGGGAUACACUGCCUCCAGACCUGCUAAGACUGGGAGACUGGAUGGUAAAAUUGGACCUCCAAGAUGCAUACCUCACGAUACCGAUUGCCGAGGACUGUCAACACCUACUUCAAUUCCAAUGGGAACAGACGAUGUGGCGUUUCCGCUGCCUCCCUUUCGGCCUGUCUUCAGCCCCGUGGUGCUUCACCAACUGCUGAAACCGGUAGUCGCCCUCCUUCGCAGCAGAGGUGUACGUCUGAUCAUAUACCUCGACGACAUGCUGAUCAUGGCCCAAGACACCCAGCUACUGAACCAACACCUAUCCUGGGCGUUGACCCUUCUGCAAAACCUGGGUUUCCUAAUCAAUUGGGACAAAUCGAUCCUGCAACCCACUCGAUAGAGUUUCUGGGCUUCGAUAUAGACGCAAUACACGGAACACUCAGUUUACCUACCGCGAAAGUAAAACUUAUCAAGAAGGAAAUCCGGAGGACGUCGACUCGACCAGACUUAACCCUCUGACAGCUAGCCAGGAUAAUUGGCCUGCUCUCUGCCUCUAUACAAGCGAUCUUCCCAGGCCCUCUCCACUACAGAUCCCUGCAACAGCUCAAAGCAACCCACCUACGCUUGGGUCACAUUCUGUACCUCUAGACUGCGCGGCAAAAGAGGAACUGGCCUGGUGGCUUCAACACAUUGAAGCAUGGAACGGCAAGGCAAUCUUCGGAACCACUCCGGAUCUAGUUAUAGAAUCCGACGCGAGCAGACUGGGAUGGGGGGCUCGGUGUGGUCCUACCUCUACAGGUGGAAAAUGGUCUCCCGAAGAAAAAGAACUCCACAUCAAUGGUUUGGAACUCCUGGCUGGGUCAUUCGCCCUACGGAGCCUCCUCGGACACACGACCAAUUGUUCCAUACUUCUGCGCAUGGACAAUAUCUCAGCCGUCCGCUACAUCAACCACUUGGGUGGCACGAGAUCCUCAACCCUCACGAACUUGGCGAAGGAAUUUUGGAAUUUCUGCCUGAGUCGCAACAUAUCAGUACAGGCGGAAUACCUCCCAGGACUCUCCAACACCGUAGCGGAUUGGAACUCCAGGCAUUUACGGGACAACAGUGCAUGGCGAUUGAAUCGCACAAUAUUCCAGAAGCUCCACCAACUCUGGGGACCAAUGCACAUCGACCUUUUUGCCUCCCGGCUGAAUGCUCAACUCCCCUCAUUCUUCAGCUGGAGACCGGACCCAGACGCCACGGCAGUGGAUGCCUUCCUACAAAAUUGGCCGAACACCAGGCUAUACGCCUUUCCUCCCUUCUCACUCAUAGCGCGAACUCUCCUACACUUACAGCGCUCCCGAGCAUCGUUAGUUUUGAUAACACCAUUCUGGACGGCACAGCCAUGGUUCCCUUCGCUCAUGGAAAUGUCAAUCGACCUCCCCAGAUUGAUCCCAGGGGGCACGGAAUUAUUAUCAGAUCCCGAUGGGAACUCUCACCCACUUCUAGUGCAAGGCCAUCUCAGACUCCUAACAUGGCUCCUCUCCAGGGACCCUGGACCAUGCCGAAUGUUUCACAAACAACUUUGGACUUAUUGGCAGGAGCUUGGGCCCCAGGGACAAGACGAUCCUAUGCUCACAUGGAACACAUGGUGUAGUUGGUGCGUGGAACAGCACGUGGAUCCCAUACGUGCUCCUAUAAAUCAAGUUCUGGGUUUCCUUACUACCCUUUACGAUCAAGGCUUGGCUUACCGCACCAUAAAUGUGUACAGGUCGGCGAUUUCAGCUGGGCACAAUGGUUGGGAAGGUUUCCCGGCCGGGAAGCACUUAUGGAUCUGUCGUCUCCUACGGGGCAUAAAAUUUGCACGUCCGCCACAACCUCGUUACACGGCCUUAUGGGAUGUGAAUAUGGUCCUUCGUUUGUUGCAAGACUGGCCCCCAAACUCGAACCUCACACUCAAGCAAGUGUCUGCAAAAUUAGCAAUGCUUCUGUGCUUAAUUUCCUGCAACAGGGUAUCAGACGUGCGGGCCUUGGAUAUCGAUGCACGAUCAUUCACUCCGGAUGGUGUCCUGUUUAAUAUCACCAGACGUACAAAGUCGAACAUCACUUCAGUCUUCUAUCCCUCCUUUCCUCACAACGCUAACCUCUGCCCGGUGGCAUGCCUGCAGGAAUACGAAUUGCGGACCCAGUCAUUCCGGAACCCAACCACACAUGAUCUGUUCUUGGCAGUGAGGAAACCUCAUCAACCAGUAUCCACGGGAACUCUGACACGCUGGCUGAAAUGGAUAAUGUCAACUGCUAACAUCGACACAGCUGUUUACGGAGCACAUUCUACUAGAGGCGCUAUGGCCUCUAAAGCAUUCUCCAUUGGAUGUAAACUGGAAGACCACCUCCGCACAGCUGACUGGUCCCGAGAAUCGACGUUCAAAGAAUACUACUUUAGACCAACAGAACAUAUCUCGUCUAGGGUCAUAUCACAGCUUUAAACUAGCCUAAUAGGAGCCUCCGUGUCCUUUAAUAAAAUUACCAGAUUUUACUAAUUACAUGACGUAAAGUCAUGAUUUUAUAAAGGACACGGAGGCGAGUAUUAGCCCACCCACUGAAAGGUAAGCCAUACAUGUAUUUUUCCCACCCACUUGCUCAUAAACAGGUUAUAGCAUUUUGGAUGUUUAGAUUCAAGGUUAUAUAGUAAUAAUUGUAAUUUAGACUGACUUAUACUAGAAUGACGUAAACAAUGUUUUCAGAUAUAAACGUUUGUUAAAAGACCGGUACAGCAUAUAUGCAUGACAACGAUAUUUGAAUAUAUUUUACCAUAUAUCUCUCUGUCUCCUACAGCUUAACCCUGUGAUGACAUAACUGGGAUCGUCCGCUAUCUCCUCAUUAUUUCGGAACAUUCACCGGAACCCCUACGGGAGAUUACCCAAGUUUGAGAAUUUUUUCCUUGUUGAUGUGUUCAGCUUCGGCGUCAGCCAGAAAGAGGAAGUAGUUUAGCUCACAUGAG